GAUGAACGCUAGCGGCAGGCCUAAUACAUGCAAGUCGAACGGGCGGUAGCAAUACCGCUAGUGGCGCACGGGUGCGUAACGCGUAACCAACCUGCCCAGAUCUGGGGGAUAGCCCGCCGAAAGGCGGAUUAAUACCGCAUAAACCCACAGUGUGGCAUCACAUAAUGGGUAAAGAUUUAUCGGAUCUGGAUGGGGUUGCGUAGCAUUAGCUAGUUGGCGGGGUAAUGGCCCACCAAGGCGACGAUGCUUAGGGGACCUGAGAGGGUGAUCCCCCACACUGGCACUGAGAUACGGGCCAGACUCCUACGGGAGGCAGCAGUAGGGAAUAUUGGGCAAUGGGCGAGAGCCUGACCCAGCCAUGCCGCGUGCCGGAUGAAGGCCUUCUGGGUUGUAAACGGCUUUUCUCAGGGAAGAAAACGGGGAUGCGUCCUCAACUGGCGGUACCUGAGGAAUAAGCACCGGCUAACUCCGUG
This 473-nucleotide ribosomal RNA is filed under the name uncultured bacterium. RNAcentral's name for it is "partial 16S ribosomal RNA". It matches the Rfam family "Bacterial small subunit ribosomal RNA", at positions 28 to 507 of the family's 1533-position model. The record is from RNAcentral.